Molecule: long non-coding RNA, 1642 nt
Organism: Bactrocera neohumeralis
Lineage: Eukaryota; Metazoa; Arthropoda; Insecta; Diptera; Tephritidae
Exons: 3
Source: RefSeq, a predicted model, not a curated record
UAUUAUUUGCAACACUGGUUUGCAAAUUAUCAGCUGUUGUCAAAAAUAAAAGCAAACAAAGAAAAGAAAUGGAGCAAACAGGUUUAAACAGAAAAAGAAUUAAACGUGAAAAAACAAACAAAAAGUGGAGCGAAAAAGAAAGAAAUCCAGAGUACACUGGACUUCUUGCAGGAAGCUCCAGAAGUAGAGGCACCAACAGCUCAAAUUUUUUAUAAAAAGCUCAUUGAGAGCACAAAAAUAGACGCAACGUGGGAUUUAUUACGGCGGAAAGUGCGGCACCUGAAGGCUUCAUACAAAAAAGCAAGCGAUUGGCGAAUGUCAACAGGAGCAGGCCUUCUUGAGUCUGAUGCCGGGGCGUCGAGUGUUGAAGGCAAAGUGUUGCAGAUGUGCCCGCACUUUAAUCAGCUUAAAUAUAUUUUUGGGAAAAAAGCCACAAGUGAAUUACCAUUUGAAGUGGUUGAUAGUGGCAGUACGUCUAUAAUGAAUGAAAGCGCGGCCAGCCAAAUACUGGAAAUCACUUUUUCUGAUGUCGGCGAAGAAAUUGCGUCUCCAAUUGACAUUGCCAAUAUUGAAAAUCUACCACCAGGCAAUGUAAGUGAAGUGAUUGUUCCUGAAAAAGCAAAAGAUUUUGCGGAAAAAAUUUAAAAACAUGUCCCAAAAUCAUCUGCUGCAAAUCUUGUUGCUUUUCAAGUCGAGCGUAGGCAAAUGUUCAAAAUGAAAAUGGAAUGGGAAAAAGAGAAACAUGAAAAAGAUCACGCUUUGAAUGAAAAAAGGUUGCAAGCAGAAAUUGAAAGAGGUAAAGAUGAAGUAAUAUACAAGAACCGUGAAUUGGACUUAAAAAUCUUAGAAUUAGAAAAGGAUGAACGAUUAAAAAAACUUCAAAUUGAAAAGGAGGAACGCUUGCAAAAGUUCGAAAUUGAAAUGAAAUAUAAGUAUUCCUCUCACCAGUAAUUUUUCUGUACUUUAUUUAUCUCUUUUUAUUUAUCUUAAUUUAUUUAUGUCUAUACUUUAUUUAUCUUUGUAUUUUAAAAUAUGUAGUACCAAUUACUGUUGAGAUGAAUACUUAUUUAAUACGGUUUUUGAUGUUUUACUAUCUUCUAUCAUUCAAAGCGUUAUCUUUUUCACGUUUGUCUUUUUCUAAAUACUUAAUUUAAAAUAAUCAUUUAUUUUGUAAACAAUAGUUGAAUGUAUAAUGCCCGGUUUCACAGUCCAUACUUAAGUUGUGCCUAAAUAAAAUCUUAGCUAAGUAUUGUUGCAAACUGAGUGGUCGUUUGCGUUUCACAGUCAAUGCUCAAUUUCUAUAAAAUUUUAUUAUGAUAUAUGGCAACGUUAUGGGCAACAUAUGUUUUACAAAUGUCAUUCAUAAAAAUAUGUUUGAAAUAUUUAAAUUAUAACAGACAAUACAUAAAUUUGCGAGGAAAAUUAUAUCAAAAAUUGAUGAAAACAACAAAAGAACCCCAAAUUUCAUCACUAGCGAGUCGGAGCACCUAUGGGAACUGAAGGAAAAGUAUAAGCUGUUAUUGAGUGCAAACGAACGGACACUUGCCCUACGCUACGAAAGAUGUCGCUGAAAAUUCAAAGCAAAUUCAAAACAAAAAUCAGCUGUUAUUUAAGCACUGCUUAAGUCUCCCCUUUUCAGUAC